AGCACGCCGCGUGAGUGAUGAAGGUUUUCGGAUCGUAAAGCUCUGUUGUUAGGGAAGAACAAGUGCCGUUCAAAUAGGGCGGCACCUUGACGGUACCUAACCAGAAAGCCACGGCUAACUACGUGCCAGCAGCCGCGGUAAUACGUAGGUGGCAAGCGUUGUCCGGAAUUAUUGGGCGUAAAGGGCUCGCAGGCGGUUUCUUAAGUCUGAUGUGAAAGCCCCCGGCUAACCGGGGAGGGUCAUUGGAAACUGGGGAACUUGAGUGCAGAAGAGGAGAGUGGAAUUCCACGUGUAGCGGUGAAAUGCGUAGAGAUGUGGAGGAACACCAGUGGCGAAGGCGACUCUCUGGUCUGUAACUGACGCUGAGGAGCGAAAGCGUGGGGAGCGAACAGGAUUAGAUACCCUGGUAGUCCACGCCGUAAACGAUGAGUGCUAAGUGUUAGGGGGUUUCCGCCCCUUAGUGCUGCAGCUAACGCAUUAAGCACCCGCCUGGGGAGUACGGUCGCAAGACUGAAACUCAAAGGAAUUGACGGGGGCCCGCACAAGCGGUGGAGCAUGUGGUUUAAUUCGAAGCAACGCGAAGAACCUUACCAGGUCUUGACAUCCUCUGACAAUCCUAGAGAUAGGACGUCCCCUUCGGGGGCAGAGUGACAGGUGGUGCAUGGUUGUCGUCAGCUCGUGUCGUGAGAUGUUGGGUUAAGUCCCGCAACGAGCGCAACCC
This 721-nucleotide ribosomal RNA is filed under the name Bacillus sp. Y14-10. RNAcentral's name for it is "bacterial SSU rRNA". It matches the Rfam family "Bacterial small subunit ribosomal RNA", at positions 390 to 1104 of the family's 1533-position model. Lineage: Bacteria; Bacillati; Bacillota; Bacilli; Caryophanales; Bacillaceae. The record is from RNAcentral.